This is a long non-coding RNA of Thalassophryne amazonica, 176 nucleotides long. RefSeq lists it as uncharacterized. NCBI's taxonomy places the organism in Eukaryota, Metazoa, Chordata, Actinopteri, Batrachoidiformes, Batrachoididae. The record is from RefSeq and is a predicted model, not a curated record. The transcript has 3 exons.
GUCUAUUCUGCUUCCAAUAAAGUGACAGUCUUAUGGAUAGGUCUGUCCAAGUGUACUUGUUUAGCGAUUCUCUUUCUGUGGUCAUCUAAUGCAGAAUCAGUAAUAAGCAGUUGCACUUUGCGUACACAUCCAUCUUCACUUGGAUACACUGUGGUGACUUUAGCAAGUUCCCAGUC